CCCUACGGCCAUGCCACCCUGAACAAGCCCGAUCCCGUCUGAUCUCGGAAGCUAAGCAGGGUCGGGGCUGGUUAGUGCUCGGAUGGGAGACCACUUAGGAAGACCAGGGGCUGUAGGUG
RNAcentral lists this ribosomal RNA (119 nucleotides) under Pteropus alecto (black flying fox). Lineage: Eukaryota; Metazoa; Chordata; Mammalia; Chiroptera; Pteropodidae. The record is from RNAcentral.